Long non-coding RNA from Olea europaea var. sylvestris, 2075 nucleotides. RefSeq lists it as uncharacterized. NCBI's taxonomy places the organism in Eukaryota, Viridiplantae, Streptophyta, Magnoliopsida, Lamiales, Oleaceae. The record is from RefSeq and is a predicted model, not a curated record. The transcript is spliced from 2 exons.
UCUAUAAGAAAUAUCCGUCAGAAAAAUUCUUUUUGUCCUGCAAAUUGAUAAGUGCAAUCCACCAUUAGUAUCUAUAAAUUCCACGAGUGAUAUCAAGUUUCUCAGCAGCAACCCUUAAUCCAUCUUCCAAGGGCUGAUCUUAUCAGAGUAAUUUCUUUUUCUUUUUUUUUCCACAAUUUCUCAUUCUUUUUUUUUUUUUUUUGCACGUUAAAAAUCAGCAUAUUUUCGGGUUUUUGGAUCUCAUCAUCUUGAUUAAUAAUGGAAACUAUAGAGAGUUUAACAGUAAACAAGCCAUUGAUGAUAUUCAGCAAAAGCACUUGCUGCCUUUGCCACACCGUUAAAACACUGAUAUACAGCUUGGGAGCAAAGCCUACAGUUUAUGAAGUAGAUAAGAUUCCAAAUGGACAGCAAUUAGAAAUGGCACUGCAGGAACUCGGACUGAACCCAACUGUACCGGCAGUGUUCAUUGGACAAAAAUUUGUUGGAGGGGCCAACGAGGUCAUCAGUCUCCAUGUCCAAGGCAAACUAGUCCAGUUGCUUCAGAAUACUUAAGCCCACGGCCGCUUGGAUAAGAUUAAUAAUACUAUGAUAAUGAAAUCUUGUAGAUGUAAAAUUAGUAGUGUGGUUAUAGACGAUGUUAAGUGAAGGACUUCGUUCUCUCUAUUCAGUCUCAUAAUAAUGAAAAGAAGGAUUCCCCGAUUAUGUUCAAAUGAGACGAUCCAGGAUCGUAUAAUGAUAAAGUGGAUGUCUUAAGAUUGAAUCAUGCAGCAUGCAAUUGAUUCAAAUAACAAAACACACACCGGUUCUUGAUCAGUCCAUCCAUAAAUGGGUCUCCUGAAGCUGCUCGGACUACUUUGGUGGCCAUUUUACCAAUUUUUAGUUUAAACUAGUUUGGUAACUGUAGUUGUAUUGAAUCUUUUCUUGCAUGUGACUAAAAUGAUAUCUUCGAUUGAACUUAAAAAAACUAGAUAAUGGGUAACACAAAAAAUCAUUCCAAAAUAUGGGAAACCAGAAAAAAUUCAGUAAUGAUCCUCGGCCACAGGAAAAUGAAGCCCCACCCCACGCCCUCCCAAAUCUGAAUUCAAACCAGCCUUCUAAUUUACUAUAUUUCAGCUCCAAUGGCUUCACCAGCAGCAGCUCCGCCGGCUGUAUUUUUUCUUGGACUGAGGUACCAAAAGAGAAUUCGAAGCGCGAAAUUGGGUAAGACGAAGAAGAAAUAUGCAUGGAAAUUUUACGGUUUAUGCAGUUAAAGAUCCGAACAGCCGGCAAUAGGCACCUCCUGCAGUGGACACGAGAAUUCAUUGGGAGAAUGAGAAUGAGGGCUGGUUAGGGGAAAGUAAUUCCCAGUCACAGACAACACAAUUCAAAGAUGAGGAGAAACUUCUGAAUGAAAAAUUCUCGGAUCUACUCAACGGUUCAUCUGAUUCUUAUUGCCAGCAAACCUGCUAUGGUGCCAAAGAGGGUUUGACGCCUUCCUUGAUAAACCCUCACAAUAGGGGGCAAGAAUUUUUUGGACAUUUGUUAUUCACAUGAGUCCCACUCCAUGUGAGUAUCUAUCAACAAGAACGUCAAAUUCCUUCUGGCAAAGGAACUUAAUUCUUUUGCAGGUUCUUAGAGAAGCUGCAAAUGCAAAUUUGGAAGAAAUAAAAGCCGCUUACCAGAAGUUGUCGAAGGAAUACCAUCCUGACACUGCAGAACUUCCUCUGAAAGUUGCUUCAAAAAAGCUCAUGAAAUUACGAGAAAUUUACAGUGUUCUGAGCAACAACGAGAAACGCAAGUUCCACGACUGGUCACUUGCUCAAGAGGCAGCAAGAAGUGGAGAAAACGAGGAUGAAGCUUGAAGAACCCUAUAUGCAAGAUAUAGAGAAUUGGGAAUCCAUGCCAGACACAGUGGACCGUUUAGGUUGACGAAAUAUGGAGUUCAGUGAUCAGGCAAAGUGUGCUCUAACUUCCGAUAUUUUAGUAGCAAUUUUUUUCAGUUUGUUAUGCCAUCUUCUUCAAAGAACCAUACUGAUACCAGUCUCAAAAUGGUACCUAUGACAUUAUUCAAUUGUGCAUAAAAGUGCAGUUACUUA